This 119-nucleotide Y RNA is filed under the name Aotus nancymaae (Ma's night monkey). RNAcentral describes it as "Y RNA (ENSANAG00000010353.1)". It matches the Rfam family "Y RNA". From Rfam's summary of the family: Y RNAs are components of the Ro ribonucleoprotein particle (Ro RNP), in association with Ro60 and La proteins. The Y RNAs and Ro60 and La proteins are well conserved, but the function of the Ro RNP is not known. Lineage: Eukaryota; Metazoa; Chordata; Mammalia; Primates; Aotidae. The record is from Rfam by way of RNAcentral.
GGCUGGUCCUAAGGUAGUGAGUUCUCUCAAUUGAUCGUUGUUGAUCAACAGUCAUUUGCAGAUCAAACUCCUUGUUCUAUUCUUUCUCCUGUCUCAUUACUGCACUUGACUAGUCUCUA